UUGAUCCUGCCGGACCCGACUGCUAUCAGAGUGGGACUAAGCCAUGCGAGUCAACGCAGCAAUGCGUGGCAUACGGCUCAGUAACACGUAGUCAACAUGCCCAGGGGACGUGGAUAACCUCGGGAAACUGAGGAUAAACCGCGAUAGGCCAAGGUUUCUGGAAUGGACACUGGCUGAAACCUAUAUGGCCCCUGGAUUGGACUGCGGCCGAUCAGGCUGUUGGUGAGGUAAUGGCCCACCAAACCUGUUACCGGUACGGGCUCUGAGAGGAGGAGCCCGGAGAUGGGCACUGAGACAAGGGCCCAGGCCCUAUGGGGCGCAGCAGGCGCGAAACCUCUGCAAUAGGCGAAAGCCUGACAGGGUUACUCUGAGUGAUUCCCGCUAAGGGGAUCUUUUGGCACCUCUAAAAAUGGUGCAGAAUAAGGGGUGGGCAAGCCUGGUGUCAGCCGCCGCGGUAAUACCAGCACCCCGAGUGGUCGGGACGAUUAUUGGGCCUAAAGCAUCCGUAGCCGGUUCUACAAGUCUUCCGUUAAAUCCACCUGCUUAACAGAUGGGCUGCGGAGGAUACUAUGGAGCUAGGAGGCGGGAGAGGCAAGCGGUACUUAGUGGGUAGGGGUAAAAUCCGUUGAUCCAUUGAAGACCACCAGUGGCGAAGGCGGCUUGCCAGAACGCACUCGACGGUGAGGGAUGAAAGCUGGGGGAGCAAACCGGAUUAGAUACC
This 721-nucleotide ribosomal RNA is filed under the name uncultured Nitrososphaerota archaeon. Its description in RNAcentral is "bacterial SSU rRNA". It matches the Rfam family "Archaeal small subunit ribosomal RNA", at positions 8 to 737 of the family's 1478-position model. Lineage: Archaea; Thermoproteati; Nitrososphaerota. The record is from RNAcentral.